RNAcentral lists this ribosomal RNA (377 nucleotides) under uncultured Chloroflexota bacterium. Its description in RNAcentral is "bacterial SSU rRNA". It matches the Rfam family "Bacterial small subunit ribosomal RNA", at positions 521 to 896 of the family's 1533-position model. Lineage: Bacteria; Bacillati; Chloroflexota. The record is from RNAcentral.
UAAUACGUAGGAGGCGAGCGUUAUCCGGAUUUACUGGGCGUAAAGAGGGCGUAGGCGGCUUUUCAAGUCGGAUGUAAAAUCUCCCGGCUUAACUGGGAGGGAUCGUUCGAUACUGAUUGGCUAGAGUGCAGCAGAGGGAGGUGGAAUUCCCGGUGUAGUGGUGAAAUGCGUAGAUAUCGGGAGGAACACCAGUGGCGAAGGCGGCCUCCUGGGCUGUUACUGACGCUGAGGCCCGAAGGCGUGGGGAGCGAACAGGAUUAGAUACCCUGGUAGUCCACGCAGUAAACGAUGGAUACUAGGUAUGGGGGGUAUCGACCCCCUCCGUGCCGAAGCUAACGCUUUAAGUAUCCCGCCUGGGGAGUACGGUCGCAAGACUA